GUCCACGCCGUAAACGAUGGGCGCUAGGUGUGGGCGGUGUCGACUCCGUCCGUGCCGAAGCUUACGCAUUAAGCGCCCCGCCUGGGGAGUACGGCCGCAAGGCUAAAACUCAAAGGAAUUGACGGGGCCCGCACAAGCAGCGGAGCAUGUGGUUUAAUUCGACGCAACGCGAAGAACCUUACCAGGGCUUGACAUGCACCGGAAAACCGUGGAAACACGGUCCCCCGCAAGGGUCGGUGCACAGGUGGUGCAUGGCUGUCGU
RNAcentral lists this ribosomal RNA (262 nucleotides) under uncultured bacterium. Its description in RNAcentral is "partial 16S ribosomal RNA". It matches the Rfam family "Bacterial small subunit ribosomal RNA", at positions 793 to 1055 of the family's 1533-position model. The record is from RNAcentral.